AACUUUCAACAACGGAUCUCUGGGCUCUCGCAUCGAUGAAGAACGCAGCGAAAUGCGAUAAGUAAUGUGAAUUGCAGAAUUCAGUGAAUCAUCGAAUCUUUGAACGCACCUUGCGCUCUUUGGUAUUCCGAAGAGCAUGCCUGUUUGAGUGUCAUGAAAAUAUCAACCUUGACAGGGGUUUAGUGCUCUUGUCUUGGCUUGGAUUUGGCUGUUUGCCGCUCGAAAGAGUCGUCUCAGCUUAAAAGUAUUAGCUGGAUCUGUCUUUGAGACUUGGUUUGAGUUGGCGUAAUUAGUUAUUUCGCUGAGGACAAUCUUCGGAUUGGCCGAGUUUCUGGGACGUUUGUCCGCUUUCUAAUAGAAGUUCUAGCUUGCUAGACAUGACUUUUUUAUUAUCUCGCCUCAAAUCAGGUAGGACUACCCGCUGAACUUAAGCAUAUCAAUAAGCGGAGGCU
Molecule: unclassified non-coding RNA, 452 nt
Filed under: uncultured Cryptococcus
Lineage: Eukaryota; Fungi; Basidiomycota; Tremellomycetes
Description: sequence contains ITS2
Rfam family: 5.8S ribosomal RNA (bases 1-154)
Source: RNAcentral